UUGAAUCUCCUUACACAUGACACAUUGAUUAACAAUUAAGCAAGAUUACAAAAUCAGCCUGAUUACUUCCAUGUUCCCACCUUUAACUUAUAUCUAGCAGCCUUGCAUCAUUUAUAAUCUUUAAAAAAUAUACAAGAUCCAUCAUCAAAUAAGUAUUUUAAUAAUCAUUUAACUGUUGGACUCAGACUCAGUUUUUUAUAACCUGAUUCCGUGGUUAUAAUAUAUAAGGGAAGUAGAAAUUGAUACAUAAAACUUUCAAUAGAAAAGAGCUGUUGUCUAAUCCAAGAACAAGGAGGAGGAUUUUAUAGUAACUCAUCUUGCUUCCAUAGUUGUAUUUGUGAUAACAUUAACUGAAAAUCUUUCUGGGGUGGUUGAGGGCAAUGUUGAACUAUACUCACCUCUUACCUUUAGAAAUGCAGGUGGUUUAGGAGAAGGAAGGAGCACAGUGUCAUUUCCAAUCAUUGAUACAACAUCAGACAUGGUUGGCCUAUCUUUUGGACUUUCUUGAACGCAAAGAAGUCCUAUGUUCACAUAUCUUGGCACAGUAUGCAGACUGUUAUUACUUAAAGUAUCACUGUCAUCUAAUGCACUGUCCAUUAGAUCCAGUCCUGAAUUUCUUGUCCAAAGAUCCCAAGCCUUCAAGAUUUAACACAAAACAACCUCAAAAUUAGAAAGUCUGGAGCAUAUUCUGUACGACAAGUCUUUUUUCCUUA
Molecule: small RNA, 713 nt
Filed under: Vigna angularis var. angularis
Lineage: Eukaryota; Viridiplantae; Streptophyta; Magnoliopsida; Fabales; Fabaceae
Description: Non-protein coding transcript
Source: RNAcentral